RNAcentral lists this non-coding RNA (178 nucleotides) under Leptolinea tardivitalis. RNAcentral describes it as "6S / SsrS RNA". It matches the Rfam family "6S / SsrS RNA". Rfam says of the family: E. coli 6S RNA was the first non coding RNA to be sequenced, but its function was unknown until recently. It consists of 184 nucleotides that fold into an extended hairpin structure with a large single-stranded internal bulge. The record is from Rfam by way of RNAcentral. Lineage: Bacteria; Bacillati; Chloroflexota; Anaerolineae; Anaerolineales; Anaerolineaceae.
AUUACCCUGCUGUGUUCGUGAUGCUGCAACUGCGGUUUUGCGCCAACAGUUUACAAACGGAUCUUAAUCUUUCAGUGGUGACGCGAUAGGCUUCGGCCAAGGCGGAUUCACUGGGUCGGGAUCCUACCUGCUUAUGCAGGUGCAAAACUAUGCAGCACAUCGGCAUAGCGGGGGUUUU